Molecule: ribosomal RNA, 215 nt
Filed under: uncultured bacterium
Lineage: Bacteria
Description: partial 16S ribosomal RNA
Rfam family: Bacterial small subunit ribosomal RNA
Source: RNAcentral
UCCCAGUUCGGAUUGUAGUCUGCAACCCGACUACAUGAAGCUGGAAUCGCUAGUAAUCGCAGGUCAGCAUACUGCGGUGAAUACGUUCCCGGGUCUUGUACACACCGCCCGUCACACCAUGGGAGCCGGAAAUGCCCGAAGCCAGUGACCCAACCUUAGGGAGGGAGCUGUCGAAGGUGGAGCCGGUAACUGGGGUGAAGUCGUAACAAGGUACC